This 1243-nucleotide long non-coding RNA is filed under the name Cricetulus griseus (Chinese hamster). Its description in RNAcentral is "lncRNA (ENSCGRG00015033576.1)". Lineage: Eukaryota; Metazoa; Chordata; Mammalia; Rodentia; Cricetidae. The record is from RNAcentral.
GUGAUGGUCUCCUGGGGCGUGAAUAAAGACAACUUACGGCAUGCUGUGGAAAUCAUAUGCAAAUUAACUCAUUAGCUUUCCUGGCCAACACCGCAGACAUCCUUCCUAAUGGAGGAAGCUAUCUAUGGACCGCACCUUUAUCGGCUCCCUCCAACCCUCCUCAACAAUUUAUGGAGAAAAACAGGAAAAGCUGAGGGGCUGUCGUUAACUAUGACUUAAGCAUCUGGUUCUCCAAUCUACCUGUCUCUACUCAUCACCCUGGUUCAACUCUGUGUCCUGGAUUCCCCCUCUUCCCAUCCCUGGGCCUCCCAGAGGAGUUUCCCUCUCCAGUUCGCUUGGGCAAGAAGACAGAAGCCAGGCUGUCGGGAAGCAGGGUGAACAUGAAAAUGUCUGUCAGCAGCUUUGCCACAGAAAGCCACCCCAGGCGACCACAGAGCUUCUUCCCUUCUCCUCCACACAUGGCAACUGAGGAAGAGAAAUGAAGUAGGGAGAGGGCCCAGGAGGAGACCAGAACAGCAUGCUGGGACCCUGACAUGGUUCAAAACAUUUUUACACCAGCAGAGAUCUCGCCGGCAGCCGCCCACCCCAAGCGUAGAAUUUAGGUUGCUUUUCUAGUGUGGAACGUGGCUUUGUGUUAAGCUCUGAAAUGGUUGCAGACCAGGAAUCACGCUCUUCCCUCCUUCCAGCUGUCUUCAGCACAGUGCCUGGAGGUACCUCGAAUGCCCUCCUUCCGGAGAGGGAUGGGCAUGGCCUGUGGCCCAUUCCAGGAUGAGAAAAAGUGGUACUGAUGGCCUUGUGGCCUUUGCCUCAUUCAAGCUGUGUUCUGGUCACCUGACUUUGCUGUUCGCUACUCACUGAGCCAAACUGGUCACCGCAGCCCUGGGAGCCAUGAAUGGAGAGACGAGGAGAGACCACUGGCUGUUCUUUACUACGCAACAACUUUGUAGUUUGCAGAGAAAAUACUAAUCAAGCCGUUUUACCCAGGGCAGAUUAACCAAAAAGUAACAGUCAGAGCUUGAAUCCAGACCCCCUGUGGUUUCCAAGCCAGGCUGACUUUAGCACCGUAGGGUAUGAUGCUGGAACACUGGCUGGGGAGCUGGGAGGUUUUGGGGGGUGUGUAUUUCCCUCCCCUGGAUACCACCUGUGAUUGGCAUGUUGGGACACAUAUGUCAUUCUUGUUUUGCCUUUUUUCUUCGUUAUGUGGGGGCGACAAGGAGGAGAAAGAGAAAAUGGAAAAUGCUGA